CCGUGCGAAGGUAGCAUAAUCACUUGUUCUUUAAAUGAGGACUAGUAUCAACGGCAUCACGAGGGUUAAACUGUCUCCUCUCUCCAAUCAGUGAAACUGAUCUUCCCGUGAAGAAGCGGGGAUUAAUUUAUAAGACGAGAAGACCCCAUGGAGCUUUAAACCCAAUUACACCCCCAUAUUUUAAAUCUUCAUAACUUUUAAGGUACUGUAUAUUCGGUUUUAGGUUGGGGUGACCGCGGAGCAUAAAUAAGCCUCCACGAUGAACGGAAUUAUUCCCUUAUCCGAGAAUUACACUUCUAAGAAUUAAUAUUUUAACAUAUAAUGAUCCAUUAUUUGAUCAACGAACCAAGUUACCCUGGGGAUAACAGCGCAAUCCACUUCAAGAGCUCCUAUCGACAAGUGGGUUUACGACCUCGAUGUUGGAUCAGGGUAUCCCAGUGGUGCAGCAGUUACUAAAGGUUCGUUUGUUCAACGAUUAAAACCCU
RNAcentral lists this ribosomal RNA (485 nucleotides) under Blommersia blommersae (Ambrana Madagascar frog). Its description in RNAcentral is "partial 16S ribosomal RNA". It matches the Rfam family "Bacterial large subunit ribosomal RNA", at positions 1946 to 2597 of the family's 2925-position model. The record is from RNAcentral. Lineage: Eukaryota; Metazoa; Chordata; Amphibia; Anura; Mantellidae.